UGAGGAAUUUUGGGCAAUGGGCGAAAGCCUGACCCAGCGACGCCGCGUGGAGGAUGAAGGCCUUCGGGUCGUAAACUCCUGUUCUGGGGGAAGAAAACGGGAUGCGUGAAUAAUUCAUCCCGCUGACGGCACCCCAGGAGAAAGCUCCGGCUAAUUACGUGCCAGCAGCCGCGGUAAUACGUAAGGAGCAAGCGUUGUCCGGAUUUACUGGGCGUAAAGAGCUCGUAGGCGGCCGAUCAGGUCUCGCGUAAAAUCCCCCGGCUCAACCGGGGAGAGUCGCGGGAAACCGACCGGCUUGAGGACAGAAAAGGAAAGUGGAAUUCCCGGUGUAGCGGUGAAAUGCGUAGAUAUCGGGAGGAAUACCAGUGGUGAAGACGGCUUUCUGGUCUGUUUCUGACGC
RNAcentral lists this ribosomal RNA (400 nucleotides) under uncultured bacterium. RNAcentral's name for it is "bacterial SSU rRNA". It matches the Rfam family "Bacterial small subunit ribosomal RNA", at positions 355 to 746 of the family's 1533-position model. The record is from RNAcentral.